RNAcentral lists this ribosomal RNA (891 nucleotides) under uncultured bacterium. RNAcentral describes it as "bacterial SSU rRNA". It matches the Rfam family "Bacterial small subunit ribosomal RNA", at positions 51 to 932 of the family's 1533-position model. The record is from RNAcentral.
ACACAUGCAAGUCGAGGGGAAACGGCAUCAAGCGCUUGCGCCUGAUGGACGUCGACCGGCGCACGGGUGAGUAACGCGUAUCCAACCUGCCCCACACUAAGGGAUAACCCGCAGAAAUGUGGACUAAUACCUUAUAUUUUCCACCAAGGGCAUCGUCGAUGGAACAAAGAUUUAUCGGUAUGGGAUGGGGAUGCGUCCGAUUAGGUUGUUGGCGGGGUAACGGCCCACCAAGCCUUCGAUCGGUAGGGGUUCUGAGAGGAAGGUCCCCCACAUAGGAACUGAGACACGGUCCUAACUCCUACGGGAGGCAGCAGUGAGGAAUAUUGGUCAAUGGGCGUGAGCCUGAACCAGCCAAGUAGCGUGCAGGAAGACGGCCCUAUGGGUUGUAAACUGCUUUUAUGCGGGGAUAAAGGAGUCCACGUGUGGAUUUUUGCAGGUACCGCAUGAAUAAGGACCGGCUAAUUCCGUGCCAGCAGCCGCGGUAAUACGGAAGGUCCGGGCGUUAUCCGGAUUUAUUGGGUUUAAAGGGAGCGUAGGCCGCGUUUUAAGCGUGUUGUGAAAUGUAGACGCCCAACGUCUGCAUCGCAGCGCGAACUGGGACGCUUGAGUACGCGCAACGUUGGCGGAAUUCGUCGUGUAGCGGUGAAAUGCUUAGAUAUGACGAGGAACUCCGAUUGCGAAGGCAGCUGACGGGAGCGGCACUGACGCUUAAGCUCGAAGGUGCGGGUAUCAAACAGGAUUAGAUACCCUGGUAGUCCGCACAGUAAACGAUGGAUGCCCGCUGUGUGCCAUUUAUGGUACGCGGCUAAGCGAAAGCGUUAAGCAUCCCACCUGGGGAGUACGCCGGCAACGGUGAAACUCAAAGGAAUUGACGGGGGCCCGCACAAGCGG